GUUUGAUCCUGGCUCAGAUUGAACGCUGGCGGCAUGCUUUUACACAUGCAAGUCGAACGGUAACAGGGAGCUUGCUCCGCUGACGAGUGGCGAACGGGUGAGUAAUGCAUCGGAACGUACCCAGUCGUGGGGGAUAACGUAGCGAAAGUUACGCUAAUACCGCAUACGUCCUGAGGGAGAAAGCGGGGGACCGUAAGGCCUCGCGCGAUUGGAGCGGCCGAUGUCGGAUUAGCUAGUUGGUAGGGUAAAGGCCUACCAAGGCGACGAUCCGUAGCGGGUCUGAGAGGAUGAUCCGCCACACUGGGACUGAGACACGGCCCAGACUCCUACGGGAGGCAGCAGUGGGGAAUUUUGGACAAUGGGCGAAAGCCUGAUCCAGCCAUGCCGCGUGAGUGAAGAAGGCCU
RNAcentral lists this ribosomal RNA (405 nucleotides) under uncultured bacterium. Its description in RNAcentral is "bacterial SSU rRNA". It matches the Rfam family "Bacterial small subunit ribosomal RNA", at positions 11 to 417 of the family's 1533-position model. The record is from RNAcentral.